This 212-nucleotide long non-coding RNA is filed under the name Vigna radiata. RNAcentral describes it as "long non-coding RNA (VRAD_LNC004015)". Lineage: Eukaryota; Viridiplantae; Streptophyta; Magnoliopsida; Fabales; Fabaceae. The record is from RNAcentral.
CAAAUGAGGAUAAGGCAGCCUUUCAUUGUCAGACAAAGCCCUUAUCAUCCUAUGGCGGACAACAUGUCCCCAGUUAAUCUGCUUUGAAUUCAAAAGUGCCCAUAACAGCAGGAUAUCCUCGUUUGAUGCCUGACCAAUAUUUGAGUAACGUGGAAUCAAUAUUCUGGUUACGACAUAAUGCGGUAUCCUUCGCUGCCCCUUCAAUCCCCCUG